GUAAGGAAUAUUGGUCAAUGGACGCAAGUCUGAACCAGCCAUGCCGCGUGGAGGAUGAAGGUCCUCUGGAUUGUAAACUUCUUUUAUCUGGGACGAAAAAAGGGAAUUCUUUCUCGUCUGACGGUACCAGAUGAAUAAGCACCGGCUAACUCCGUGCCAGCAGCCGCGGUAAUACGGAGGGUGCAAGCGUUAUCCGGAUUCACUGGGUUUAAAGGGUGCGUAGGCGGGUGUGUAAGUCCGUGGUGAAAUCUCCGAGCUUAACUCGGAAACUGCCAUGGGUACUGCAUGUCUUGAAUGUUGUGGAGGUGAGCGGAAUAUGUCAUGUAGCGGUGAAAUGCUUAGAUAUGACAUAGAACACCAAUUGCGAAGGCAGCUCACUACACAAAUAUUGACGCUGAGGCACGAAAGCGUGGGGAUCAAACAGGAUUAGAUACCCCAGUAGUCC
Molecule: ribosomal RNA, 445 nt
Filed under: uncultured bacterium
Lineage: Bacteria
Description: bacterial SSU rRNA
Rfam family: Bacterial small subunit ribosomal RNA
Source: RNAcentral